This 422-nucleotide ribosomal RNA is filed under the name uncultured bacterium. Its description in RNAcentral is "bacterial SSU rRNA". It matches the Rfam family "Bacterial small subunit ribosomal RNA", at positions 358 to 795 of the family's 1533-position model. The record is from RNAcentral.
GGAAUUUUCCGCAAUGGGCGAAAGUCUGACGGAGCGACGCUGCGUGAAGGAUGACGGCCCGCGGGUUGUAAACUUCUUUUCUCGAAGAAGAAUCAAUGACGGUAUUCGAGGAAGAAGCACCGGCUAACUACGUGCCAGCAGCCGCGGUAAUACGUAGGGUGCAAGCGUUGUUCGGAAUCGCUGGGCGUAAAGGGCGUGUAGGCGGAACGAUUAGCGAGGGGUGAAAUCCCGGGGCUCAACCCCGGAACUGCUCUUCGAACUGUCGAUCUAGAGAAGGUCAGGGGCCGGCGGAAUUCCUGGUGUAGAGGUGAAAUUCGUAGAGAUCAGGAGGAACAUCGGAGGCGAAGGCGGCCGGCUGGGGCCAUUCUGACGCUGAGGCGCGAAAGCGUGGGGAGCAAACAGGAUUAGAUACCCCAGUAGUC